This is a long non-coding RNA of Aquila chrysaetos chrysaetos, 552 nucleotides long. RefSeq lists it as uncharacterized. The record is from RefSeq and is a predicted model, not a curated record. NCBI's taxonomy places the organism in Eukaryota, Metazoa, Chordata, Aves, Accipitriformes, Accipitridae. The transcript is spliced from 3 exons.
GCAACAGGAGGGGGAGGGCGUGCUGGAGGAAGGAGGAGGUUUUAGAAACUUUGGUAACCGGGAACCUAAUGCACCUUUAGGAAUGAAUCAGUGUGCAUAUUGUAGGGAGGAUGAACAUUGGAAAAAGGAUUGCCCUAAACUGCAGACAAAUCAGCAAGGAGCUGCAAAAAUGAUGACUUUAAAUGAAUGAAGGGACUGGAGGGGAACCCAGCUGAACCUCUGGUUACAAUUAAGCUGGGAGAUGAUAAAGUUGAAUUUUUAGUUGAUACAGGAGCAGUAUAUUCUGUUUUAAAUACUUAUAAAGGGAAAUUGGGAGAUAAGACAGCAACUAUAAUUGGAGCGACUGGGAAACAAGAAAAUAGACCAUUCUUUCAACCCCUUGAUUUAAAAUUUGGAAAUAAGGCAAUUACACAUGAAUUUUUGUAUGUACCAGAAUGUCCGAUACCCUUGUUGGGUCGAGAUCUAUUAUCCAAAUUAAAUGCACAGAUAGUUUUUGAGGGAGGAGAAAUUCUUUUAAGGAUACCAGAAUCAAAAACAGGAGAAAUAUUGGUG